Molecule: ribosomal RNA, 885 nt
Filed under: Triticum aestivum (bread wheat)
Lineage: Eukaryota; Viridiplantae; Streptophyta; Magnoliopsida; Poales; Poaceae
Description: partial small subunit ribosomal RNA
Source: RNAcentral
AUGGAAGACUACUUCGCGGAGGUACCUACAUACCCUCCUCGUCUCUUCCGCAGAAGGUACCGAAUGCGGCGUAGUUUGUUUGUGAAGAUUGUCACCGAUUGUGAGGCCGCCUCCUAUUACUUUAAACGUCGUAGAUCCGCCGCCGGUAUCAUGGGGUUUAGUGCAUAUCAAAAGAUAUCGGCGGCAAUGCGGGUACUCGCUUAUGGCAUACCCGCGGAUUAUACCGACGAGUAUCUUCGCAUUGGGCAAGAUACAACUACGGAGUCAGUCCGUAGGUUUGCCAAGUUGGUCAUCCGGUUGUACGGUGAGCAGUAUCUUCGGGCACCAAACCAGGAAGAUACAAAGAGAUUAAUGGAAAUGAAUGAAAAAAGGGGAUGGCCGGGGAUGCUUGGUAAUCUUGAUUGCAUGCAUUGGAGGUGGAAAAAUUUCCCAAAGGCAUGGCACGGAAUGUAUUGCGGUAAAAGCCGUGAUGCUACCAUUGUGCUUGAGGCCGUAGCAUCUCAGGACACAUGGAUUUGGCAUGCAUUCUUUGGGUUGCCGGGAACACUCAAUGAUAUCAAUAUCCUCAAUAGAUCUCCUUUGUUCAAAAGAUUAAUUUCUGGGGAUGCUCCAUCUUGCAACUACAAAAUCAUGGACAAUGAGUACUCAAUGGGAUACUAUCUCACCGAUGGCAUCUAUCCCGAAUGGGCAACUCUUGUGAAGUCCAUCAAGGAGAAAAAUGGGGUGCCCUUAACAAGAAAAGAGGCUCAUUUCACCAAGGCACAAGAGGCAGCCCGCAAGGAUAUUGAGAGAGCUUUCGGUGUUUUGCAAGCAAGGUUUGCCAUAGUUCGUGGUCCAGCUCGGUUUUGGGACAAAAAAACCUUGGUGAGGAUGAGAGAGGGUUAA